Long non-coding RNA from Papaver somniferum (opium poppy), 1136 nucleotides. RefSeq lists it as uncharacterized. Lineage: Eukaryota; Viridiplantae; Streptophyta; Magnoliopsida; Ranunculales; Papaveraceae. The record is from RefSeq and is a predicted model, not a curated record. The transcript is spliced from 2 exons.
UAUAAAAAACCCUUCUUUCCCCUCUUCUCUGGAUGCUUCUCAUAAUUUAAAAUGAAUUUCAAAAUGGUGAAUAUUAUGAUUAUUCUUCCCGUUUUCCUGAUCUCUAAAAGGAUAUCUAUCCUUCUUCUGGUUUUUCUAACUUUUUAAAAAUAAAAAAAAAAUAUAUCCUUUUAAUCUUUCAUUUAUUGUUUCCCUCCCUGGGUCUUUCUGGUUUUGAUCCGGAAAAGAAUAGUUUGAGAAUCUCUAAAAGUUGUUUCUCUUCUCUCGUUAAAGGUGUUUUCUUUUUGUCUUAAAUAGGCAUGUUUAAAAUUUACUAUGAACAAGAAUGGGGAUUGUUUUAUCUUGGAUAGUUUUCUUUUGGGUUUGUCUUCUUUAAAGAUCUUGAUUCAAAUGGGUUUGUCCUUUAUAAUUAUCUUAAAAUCUCUGUUACGAUUCUCAGGAUUGGCUUCUACUUUUCUUGCUUGUUUUGUUGGUCCGAUUUGCUUAUGUUUGUCUUCAUUUCAAUUGCUGGAAGGAUUUUCACUUAGUUUUUCUCUGAAUUUUUUUUUGUGAUUUAGAAAUCUGAUGUGAAAAAAAAAAUCCCAUGACCCUGACCCUAACUCCGCUGAUCCCAAAUGGUCCCCCAGGAAUCUGAAAACUCCUAUGAAACAACAUGAUGCUGAAAUCAAUACUGGAUGUGUUCUAUAUGGUUGUAUUUUUUCGAAGAUGCAACUUUCACCAUUUAAAUCUUCGAUUGCGGCAAAGACUAAACCGUCAUCCUCAAUCAUUAAGAAGAUAUCUCUUUCCUGUAUAGGCCGUCGUGACACUUUUAUCAGACUUAUUCAUGGUAGAAGGGUCCAGGAAUCCACCUUGAUAGUUUUAUCGCAAGUUAAGACUCCCAAUCUUCACAACUUGUUUGUGAAUCAAUACAUGCUGCCAGUAUUAGAAGACUACUCAUUGGGUACCGAUGGAGAGCGAAUGCUUCCUAGUUUCAUGAAGAAUUAUAAAUGUUUGUGUUAUCUUUGCAGUCUUAGUUUUAGGGUCUUCUUUAGGACUUAUCGCGUUGUGCUUUUUUCCUUCGUUAAGGUUUUAUCCCUGCGGGUUUUUCUUUUAUCCCUACGAGUUUUCCUUUUCAAGGUUUUUAACGAGGCAACAAA